Molecule: ribosomal RNA, 497 nt
Filed under: uncultured bacterium
Lineage: Bacteria
Description: partial 16S ribosomal RNA
Rfam family: Bacterial small subunit ribosomal RNA
Source: RNAcentral
GAUGAACGCUGGCGGCGUGCCUAAUACAUGCAAGUCGAGCGAACAGACGAGGAGCUUGCUCCUCUGACGUUAGCGGCGGACGGGUGAGUAACACGUGGAUAACCUACCUAUAAGACUGGGAUAACUUCGGGAAACCGGAGCUAAUACCGGAUAAUAUAUUGAACCGCAUGGUUCAAUAGUGAAAGACGGUUUUGCUGUCACUUAUAGAUGGAUCCGCGCCGCAUUAGCUAGUUGGUAAGGUAACGGCUUACCAAGGCAACGAUGCGUAGCCGACCUGAGAGGGUGAUCGGCCACACUGGAACUGAGACACGGUCCAGACUCCUACGGGAGGCAGCAGUGGGGAAUCUUCCGCAAUGGGCGAAAGCUUGACGGAGCAACGCCGCGUGAGUGAUGAAGGUCUUCGGAUCGUAAAACUCUGUUAUUAGGGAAGAACAAAUGUGUAAGUAGCUAUGCACGUCUUGACGGUACCUAAUCAGAAAGCCACGGCUAACUACGUG